GAGGGUAUAGCUCAAGUGGCAGAGCACAUGGUUAGUAUGCAUGAGGUCCUGGGUUCAAUCCCCAGUACCUCCU
This is a transfer RNA of Camelus ferus (Wild Bactrian camel), 73 nucleotides long. It matches the Rfam family "tRNA". Rfam says of the family: Transfer RNA (tRNA) molecules are approximately 80 nucleotides in length. Their secondary structure includes four short double-helical elements and three loops (D, anti-codon, and T loops). NCBI's taxonomy places the organism in Eukaryota, Metazoa, Chordata, Mammalia, Artiodactyla, Camelidae. The record is from Rfam.